RNAcentral lists this ribosomal RNA (465 nucleotides) under uncultured bacterium. RNAcentral's name for it is "bacterial SSU rRNA". It matches the Rfam family "Bacterial small subunit ribosomal RNA", at positions 926 to 1391 of the family's 1533-position model. The record is from RNAcentral.
CAAGCGGUGGAGCAUGUGGUUUAAUUCGAUGCAACGCGAAGAACCUUACCUACUCUUGACAUCCACGGAAUUUGGCAGAGAUGCCUUAGUGCCUUCGGGAACCGUGAGACAGGUGCUGCAUGGCUGUCGUCAGCUCGUGUUGUGAAAUGUUGGGUUAAGUCCCGCAACGAGCGCAACCCUUAUCCUUUGUUGCCAGCGAUUCGGUCGGGAACUCAAAGGAGACUGCCGGUGAUAAACCGGAGGAAGGUGGGGAUGACGUCAAGUCAUCAUGGCCCUUACGAGUAGGGCUACACACGUGCUACAAUGGCGCAUACAAAGAGAAGCGACCUCGCGAGAGCAAGCGGACCUCACAAAGUGCGUCGUAGUCCGGAUCGGAGUCUGCAACUCGACUCCGUGAAGUCGGAAUCGCUAGUAAUCGUGGAUCAGAAUGCCACGGUGAAUACGUUCCCGGGCCUUGUACACACC